Molecule: ribosomal RNA, 724 nt
Filed under: Columba palumbus
Lineage: Eukaryota; Metazoa; Chordata; Aves; Columbiformes; Columbidae
Description: partial 12S ribosomal RNA
Rfam family: Bacterial small subunit ribosomal RNA
Source: RNAcentral
GUAAAUCUCGUGCCAGCCACCGCGGUCACACAAGAGACCCAAACUAAUCGUUCACGGCGUAAAGAGUGGACUCAUGCUUAUCGCAUUAAUUAAGGUCAAAACGCAGCUGAGCUGUCAUAAGCUUAAGGUGCACUUAAAACCGCCCUAAAUACGACCCUAAACUCAUACGACUCAAUGAACUCCACGAAAGCCAGGGUACAAACUGGGAUUAGAUACCCCACUAUGCCUGGCCCUAAAUCUUGAUGCUCUAUAUAACCAAAGCAUCCGCCUGAGAACUACGAGCACAAACGCUUAAAACUCUAAGGACUUGGCGGUGCCCCAAACCCACCUAGAGGAGCCUGUUCUGUAAUCGAUAACCCACGAUACACCCGACCACUUCUUGCCAAAAACAGCCUACAUACCGCCGUCGCCAGCUCACCUCUUCUGAGAGUACCACAGUGAGCACAACCGCUCUAACCCCGCUAACAAGACAGGUCAAGGUAUAGCCCAUGAAGUGGAAGAAAUGGGCUACAUUUUCUAACUUAGAAAAUCUCACGAAAAGGGGUAUGAAACAACCCCUGGAAGGUGGAUUUAGCAGUAAAGCGGGACAAUAUAGCCCCCUUUAAGCCGGCUCUGGGGCACGUACAUACCGCCCGUCACCCUCCUCAUAAGCUCUAAACUACUAAUAAAUAAUACCCCUAUCCGCUAAAGAUGAGGUAAGUCGUAACAAGGUAAGCAUACUGGA